UACGGGGGGAGCAAGCGUUGUUCGGAUUUACUGGGCGUAAAGGGCUCGUAGGCGGCCAACUAAGUCGGAUGUGAAAUCCCCAGGCUUAACCUGGGAACUGCAUCCGAUACUGGAUGGCUUGAAUUCGGGAGAGGGAUGCAGAAUUCCAGGUGUAGCGGUGAAAUGCGUAGAUAUCUGGAGGAAUACCGGUGGCGAAGGCAGGUCUCUGGGCCAUAACUGACGCUGAGAAGCGAAAGCAUGGGGAGCGAACAGG
RNAcentral lists this ribosomal RNA (253 nucleotides) under uncultured bacterium. RNAcentral's name for it is "partial 16S ribosomal RNA". It matches the Rfam family "Bacterial small subunit ribosomal RNA", at positions 524 to 776 of the family's 1533-position model. The record is from RNAcentral.